This is a non-coding RNA of Ceratotherium simum simum (southern white rhinoceros), 194 nucleotides long. Lineage: Eukaryota; Metazoa; Chordata; Mammalia; Perissodactyla; Rhinocerotidae. The record is from RefSeq and is a predicted model, not a curated record.
UGACCUAAUAAGAUAGUUAAUCAUCAUUGGACUGAUGAAAAAAGCCAACUAACUAUUUAAAGAGAGACUUUAACAGCAGAUAAAGGGAAGGACUUGUGGCUGUUGCUGUAGGAUUCAAAGUCCAGGUGACGAUUUUGAAUAAAACAUUGGAGACAAGUGAAAACCUUCACAUGAUAUUUGUAGUUCAAUGAUGG